AAGGAUCAUUAUUGAAUGAACUUGGAGUCGGUUGUCGCUGGCUGUCUUAUUUGGCAGCAUGUGCACGCCUUCUCUUUUCAUCCACACACACCCCUGUGCACUUGUGAGACUGGAGACCGGUAAAAAAAAGUCUUCAGUCUGCUAAAUCCAUAUACAAACCCAUUUAAUUGAACUGAAUGUAAAUUGAUGUAACGCAUCUUUAAACU
Molecule: unclassified non-coding RNA, 206 nt
Filed under: Ceratobasidium sp. AG-K
Lineage: Eukaryota; Fungi; Basidiomycota; Agaricomycetes; Cantharellales; Ceratobasidiaceae
Description: ITS1
Source: RNAcentral